This 729-nucleotide ribosomal RNA is filed under the name Thiara aspera. Its description in RNAcentral is "partial large subunit ribosomal RNA". The stretch from base 293 to 529 matches the Rfam family "Bacterial large subunit ribosomal RNA", at positions 1717 to 2018 of the family's 2925-position model. The record is from RNAcentral. Lineage: Eukaryota; Metazoa; Mollusca; Gastropoda; Thiaridae.
UACACAAUGAAUAAAAUUAAUUUAUGUGAUUAAGAAGCCUUAUAGUCACUAAUUAACUUAAUUUCAUUGGACUUUAUCGAGGAUAAGCUCGAUAAUUGCUGUUGAGGAUUAUAUAAAUUAAAAAUUAUUGUGUAGGCCUAAAAUUAGCCAUCAUUAAGAGUUUGUUAUAAAAUAAUAGAAAUACAUAAAAAUAUUUAUAUAUAUAUAUACCACAUAAAAUUAUAAGAACAAUAAUCUAAAUUAAGAGAUUAAUAUGCCUAUGCUAGGAUGAGUAUUAUUAAUUAUUUAAGUUGAAAAAUAGAUAUUUCCUGAAAAAAUAUUUUUAAUAUAAAUUAAAGAGAAGGAAUUCAGCAAAUUAUUAUUCCGCCUGUUUAUCAAAAACAUGGCUCUUUGAGGAAAUAAUAUAUAAAGAGUCGAACCUGCCCAGUGAAUAGUUUAACGGCCGCGGUACCCUGACCGUGCAAAGGUAGCAUAAUCAUUUGCCUUAUAAUUGAAGGCUGGCAUGAAUGGUCUGACGAGAGUAAUACUGUCUCCUCUUUAUUAUUUAGAAAUUAACUUAUAGGUGAAGAGGCCUAUAUUAUAUUGAAGGACAAGAAGACCCUGUCGAGCUUUAAAGUAAAACAGUGGGAGUUAGUUAUUAAAAAAAUCAAUAUGCUACUAUAACUUUUUAGUUGGGGCGACUAAGGAACAAAUAAAGCUUCUUUUUAUUUUUAUAAAUUUACAAAUUUA